UGCCUCAGUAACGGCGAGUGAAGCGGCAACAGCUCAAAUUUGAAAUCUGGCCGCAAGGUCCGAGUUGUAAUUUGCAGAGGAUGCUUUUGGCGAGGUGCCUUCCGAGUUCCCUGGAACGGGACGCCAUAGAGGGUGAGAGCCCCGUACGGUAGGACCACCGAGCCUUUGUAAAGCUCCUUCGACGAGUCGAGUAGUUUGGGAAUGCUGCUCUAAAUGGGAGGUGUACGUCUUCUAAAGCUAAAUACCGGCCAGAGACCGAUAGCGCACAAGUAGAGUGAUCGAAAGAUGAAAAGCACUUUGAAAAGAGGGUUAAAAAGUACGUGAAAUUGUUGAAAGGGAAGCAUUCAUGACCAGACUUGGGCUUGGUUGAACAUCCGGCGUUCUCGCCGGUGCACUCUGCCAGUCCAGGCCAGCAUCAGUUUGCCCCGGGGGACAAAGGCGGUGGGAAUGUGGCUCUCUCCGGGGAGUGUUAUAGCCCGCCGUGUAAUGCCCUGGGGCGGACUGAGGAACGCGCUUCGGCUCGGAUGCUGGCGUAAUGGUCAUCAAUGACCCGUCUUGAAACACGGACCAAGGAGUCGUCUUCGUAUGCGAGUGUUCGGGUGUCAAACCCCUACGCGAAAUGAAAGUGAACGUAGGUGAGAGCUUCGGCGCAUCACCGACCGAUCCUGAUGU
RNAcentral lists this ribosomal RNA (672 nucleotides) under Sarocladium spinificis. RNAcentral describes it as "partial large subunit ribosomal RNA". It matches the Rfam family "Eukaryotic large subunit ribosomal RNA", at positions 76 to 777 of the family's 3401-position model. Lineage: Eukaryota; Fungi; Ascomycota; Sordariomycetes; Hypocreales; Sarocladiaceae. The record is from RNAcentral.